Molecule: ribosomal RNA, 508 nt
Filed under: uncultured bacterium
Lineage: Bacteria
Description: partial 16S ribosomal RNA
Rfam family: Bacterial small subunit ribosomal RNA
Source: RNAcentral
GAUGAACGCUAGCUACAGGCUUAACACAUGCAAGUCGAGGGGAAACGAUAUUGGAAGCUUGCUUCCGAUAGGCGUCGACCGGCGCACGGGUGAGUAACGCGUAUCCAACCUGCCCACCACUUGGGGAUAACCUUGCGAAAGUAAGACUAAUACCCAAUGAUAUCUCUAGAAGACAUCUGAAGGAGAUUAAAGAUUUAUCGGUGAUGGAUGGGGAUGCGUCUGAUUAGCUUGUUGGCGGGGUAACGGCCCACCAAGGCGAAGAUCAAUAGGGGUUCUGAGGGGAAGGUCCCCCACAUUGGAACUGAGAAACGGUCCAAACUCCUACAGGAGGCAGCAGUGAGGAAUAUUGGUCAAUGAGCGAGAGCGUGAACCAGCCAAGUAGCGUGCAGAAUGACGGCCCUAUGGGUUGUAAUCUGCUUUUAUAAGGGAAUAAAGUGAGCCUCGUGAGGCUUUUUGCAUGUACCUUAUGAAUAAGGACCGGCUAAUUCCGUGCCAGCCGCCGCCGUAA